This 65-nucleotide transfer RNA is filed under the name Cleistostoma dilatatum. Its description in RNAcentral is "tRNA-Phe". Lineage: Eukaryota; Metazoa; Arthropoda; Malacostraca; Decapoda; Camptandriidae. The record is from RNAcentral.
AUUUAUAUAAUUUAUAUAGAAUAUUGCAUUGAAGCUGCAAAAGAGAUAAUUUCAAUCUGUAAAUA